CUUAGUAACUGCGAGUGAACAGGGAUAAGCCCAGCACCGAAGCCUGUGGUCAUUUGAUCAUUAGGCAAUGUGGUGUUUAGGUUAUCUCGCAGAGGCACUGCUCCACCCUAAGUCCAAAAAUGAGUACGGUUUUACGGACAUGGCCCAAAGAGGGUGAAAGGCCCGUGGGGGUGGAGAUUCGGUAUGUCAGUGCUUCUCUGAGCAAACCUUUGAGUCGGGUUGUUUGAGAUUGCAGCCCAAAGUGGGUGGUAAACUCCAUCCAAGGCUAAAUACUUGCACGAGUCCGAUAGCGAACAAGUACCGUGAGGGAACGUUGAAAAGUACUUUGAAGAGAGAGUAAACAGUGCGUGAAACCGCUCAGAGGUAAACGGGUGGAGUUGAACUGCGAACCCCGAGAAUUCAACUGGUGAGUGUGGUAUGAGCUUGGCAUGAUGGUUGGCUCUGCGGGUCUGCUUAGCUGCAGGUCUUCACCUUUUGGUGUGGAUGCGCGAUACACUUGUCAAGUGGUGCGCGCUCGUUGAGUUACUCGGACAUGCUUGCCAGUGCACUUUCUCGGGGUGUUCACCACGACCGGCGCCGCUACUUGGCUAAUAUGGUUAAACCGUUCUUGCUUGGUCCUUGUGGCUUUGCUUGAUCGGGAUGGCAGGUAGCUCGUUAGCUUGUGUGUUGGCCUCGGCUGGCAUGCGCUUGGUUUUCGAGUGUAAUCAGCUGACUGUAUUGGUGCUAUGUGGUGCGUCGGAGACGGCGGCUUGUGGUGUGUGCCUGCGUGCCUAUUCGCUGACGGGACUGGGUUCGGUUAUUUUGUUGCCUGUUCUGCAGGCCUGGUGAUAGCCCGGUUUCGCUUGGUGGAUGGGGGCGUGUGUGACACUUAUCAGGGCCUAUAGUCUGUGGUGUUGUGGUAGACUAUCCACCUGACCCGUCUUGAAACACGGACCAAGGAGAGUAACAUGUGCGCGAGUCAUUGGGCGUUACGAAACCCAAAGGCGAAGUGAAAGUAAAGACUUGACUUGUUCGAGUUGAGGUGAGAUCCUGUCGUUUCUCAUGCGCGGUACUUCCAAGCAUUCGAGCGAUGGGCGCAUCACCGGCCCGUCCCAUGGUGUGGUCGCUUUUUUCGGAUUGUGCGUCACCGGGGCGGAGCAUGAGCGUACAUGUUGAGACCCGAAAGAUGGUGAACUAUGCUUGCGCAGGUUGAAGCCAGAGGAAACUCUGGUGGAGGACCGCAGCGAUUCUGACGUGCAAAUCGAUCGUCAAACGUGAGUAUAGGGGCGAAAGACUAAUCGA
Molecule: ribosomal RNA, 1281 nt
Filed under: Notocotylus sp. B MN-2021
Lineage: Eukaryota; Metazoa; Platyhelminthes; Trematoda; Plagiorchiida; Notocotylidae
Description: partial 28S ribosomal RNA
Rfam family: Eukaryotic large subunit ribosomal RNA
Source: RNAcentral